This 433-nucleotide ribosomal RNA is filed under the name uncultured bacterium. RNAcentral's name for it is "partial 16S ribosomal RNA". It matches the Rfam family "Bacterial small subunit ribosomal RNA", at positions 29 to 507 of the family's 1533-position model. The record is from RNAcentral.
AACGAACGCUGGCGGCAUGCCUAACACAUGCAAGUCGAACGAGACCUUCGGGUCUAGUGGCGCACGGGUGCGUCACGCGUGGGAACCUGCCCUUAGGUUCGGAAUAACUCUCCGAAUGGGGUGCUAAUACCGGAUAAUGUCUUCGGACCAAAGAUUUAUCGACUUUGGAUGGUCCCGCGUGGGAUUAGCUAGUUGGUAGGGUAAAAGACUACCAAGGCGACGAUCCAUAGCUGGUCUGAGAGGAUGAUCAGCCACACUGGGACGGAGACACGGCCCAGACUCCUACGGGAGGCAGCAGUGGGGAAUAUUGGACAGUCGGCUGAAGCAUGAUCCAGCAAGGCCGCGUGAGUGAUGAAAGCCUUAAGGUUGUAAAGCGCUUUUACCCGGGAUGAUAAUGACAGUACCGGGAGAAUAAGCUCCGGCUAACUCCGUG